RNAcentral lists this ribosomal RNA (496 nucleotides) under uncultured bacterium. Its description in RNAcentral is "partial 16S ribosomal RNA". It matches the Rfam family "Bacterial small subunit ribosomal RNA", at positions 899 to 1397 of the family's 1533-position model. The record is from RNAcentral.
ACUCAAAUGAAUUGACGGGGGCCCGCACAAGCAGCGGAGCGUGUUGCUUAAUUCGAUGCUACGCGAAGAACCUUACCUGGGCUUGACAUGCAGGGAAAAGCCGUGGAGACACGGUGUCCGCAAGGGCCUUGCACAGGUGGUGCAUGGCUGUCGUCAGCUCGUGUCGUGAGAUGUUGGGUUAAGUCCCGCAACGAGCGCAACCCUUGUCCUAUGUUGCCAGCGGAUUAUGCCGGGGACUCGUAGGAGACUGCCGGGGUCAACUCGGAGGAAGGUGGGGACGAAGUCAAGUCAUCAUGCCCCUUAUGUCCAGGGCUGCAAACACGCUACAAUGGCCAGUACAAUGGGCUGCUAUCCCGUGAGGGUGAGCGAAUCCCACAAAGCUGGUCUCAGUUCGAAUUGGAGUCUGCAACUCGACUCCAUGAAGCUGGAGUUGCUAGUAAUCCCGGAUCAGCACGCCGGGGUGAAUACGUUCCCGGGCCUUGUACACACCGCCCGU